GAUGAACGCUGGCGGCGUGCCUAAUACAUGCAAGUCGAGCGAACAGAUGAGGAGCUUGCUCCUCUGACGUUAGCGGCGGACGGGUGAGUAACACGUGGAUAACCUACCUAUAAGACUGGGAUAACUUCGGGAAACCGGAGCUAAUACCGGAUAAUAUAUUGAACCGCAUGGUUCAAUAGUGAAAGACGGUUUUGCUGUCACUUAUAGAUGGAUCCGCGCCGCAUUAGCUAGUUGGUAAGGUAACGGCUUACCAAGGCAACGAUGCGUAGCCGACCCGAGAGGGUGAUCGGCCACACUGGAACUGAGACACGGUCCAGACUCCUACGGGAGGCAGCAGUAGGGAAUCUUCCGCAAUGGGCGAAAGCCUGACGGAGCAACGCCGCGUGAGUGAUGAAGGUCUUCGGAUCGUAAAACUCUGUUAUUAGGGAAGAACAAAUGUAUAAGUAACUAUGCACGUCUUGACGGUACCUAAUCAGAAAGCCACGGCUAACUACGUG
RNAcentral lists this ribosomal RNA (497 nucleotides) under uncultured bacterium. Its description in RNAcentral is "partial 16S ribosomal RNA". It matches the Rfam family "Bacterial small subunit ribosomal RNA", at positions 28 to 507 of the family's 1533-position model. The record is from RNAcentral.